UGAGGAAUAUUGCGCAAUGGGGGCAACCCUGACGCAGCAACGCCGCGUGAGUGAGGAAGGUUUUCGGACCGUAAAGCUCUGUCGAGCGGGGAGAAAUGCAUGGUGGCUAAUAUCCAUCAUGCUUGACGGUACCGCUAAAGGAAGCACCGGCUAACUCCGUGCCAGCAGCCGCGGUAAUACGGGGGGUGCGAGCGUUGUUCGGAAUUAUUGGGCGUAAAGAGCGUGUAGGCGGCUGAAUAAGUCAGAUGUGAAAUCCCUGGGCUUAACCCAGGACGUGCAUUUGAAACUAUUCGGCUGGAGUAGGGGAGAGGAAAGUGGAAUUCCUGGUGUAGAGGUGAAAUUCGUAGAUAUCAGGAGGAACACCGGUGGCGAAGGCGACUUUCUGGCCCUAUACUGACGCUGAGACGCGAGAGCGUGGGUAGCAAACAG
This 429-nucleotide ribosomal RNA is filed under the name uncultured bacterium. Its description in RNAcentral is "bacterial SSU rRNA". It matches the Rfam family "Bacterial small subunit ribosomal RNA", at positions 355 to 775 of the family's 1533-position model. The record is from RNAcentral.